CCCUGUGUAUCUUAGGCCUUCUGAAGGUAACCUGAUGAAGACCUUAAAGAUAUAAAGGCCAACCAUGGAGGCAGGGGAUACUUAAAAACAGAUGAGAUGAAGUGAAUUCAAGUUUGCCUGCAAAACUUCGUUUUACAUGAGAGGAAUGACAGCUUCAGAAUACAAGAAAUCGUGAAUUUCUGAAGAGAACGAGAAGAACUCUUUAAGCCGAUCAAGAAAAAACGCGGCCAAAAGGUCCAAGCUGACCAUGGCAGGGCUAACUCAAGAAGAGCUCGCUGGUCGGUUCUUCGUGAAAGACGCUCAAAGGUCAGAGGAACGGACAACAAAAUAGAGCCCGGAACGGACUGGGGUGACACGCGCGGAGCUGACAGAAC
Molecule: long non-coding RNA, 374 nt
Organism: Gallus gallus (chicken)
Lineage: Eukaryota; Metazoa; Chordata; Aves; Galliformes; Phasianidae
Source: Ensembl